RNAcentral lists this ribosomal RNA (495 nucleotides) under uncultured bacterium. Its description in RNAcentral is "partial 16S ribosomal RNA". It matches the Rfam family "Bacterial small subunit ribosomal RNA", at positions 28 to 507 of the family's 1533-position model. The record is from RNAcentral.
GACGAACGCUGGCGGCGUGCCUAAUACAUGCAAGUAGAACGCUGAAGGAGGAGCUUGCUUCUCUGGAUGAGUUGCGAACGGGUGAGUAACGCGUAGGUAACCUGCCUGGUAGCGGGGGAUAACUAUUGGAAACGAUAGCUAAUACCGCAUAAGAGUAGAUGUUGCAUGACAUUUGCUUAAAAGGUGCAAUUGCAUCACUACCAGAUGGACCUGCGUUGUAUUAGCUAGUUGGUGGGGUAACGGCUCACCAAGGCGACGAUACAUAGCCGACCUGAGAGGGGGAUCGGCCACACUGGGACUGCGACCCGGCCCAGACUCCUACGGGAGGCAGCAGUAGGGAAUCUUCGGCAAUGGACGGAAGUCUGACCGAGCAACGCCGCGUGAGUGAAGAAGGGUUUCGGAUCGUAAAGCUCUGUUGUAAGAGAAGAACGAGUGUGAGAGUGGAAAGUUCACACUGUGACGGUAUCUUACCAGAAAGGGACGGCUAACUACGUG